This 894-nucleotide non-coding RNA is filed under the name Ophiura sarsii. Lineage: Eukaryota; Metazoa; Echinodermata; Ophiuroidea; Amphilepidida; Ophiuridae. The record is from RNAcentral.
AACGAAUUUGGUUCUGGUUUUUAUUUUUGAAGACUUAAAGAAUUAUACAUGCUAGCUAUAAAGCGUCCCGGUGAGGAUCCGAGAAAACUAGGAAACAAAUUAAACAAAAUUUUCUUUAUGAGGCGGAAGAAUGACCAAUCUAUAAAAGAGGUAUUAUGACUAUUAAAUAGCACCACAUCUGCAGUAAUAAAUAUUUAACCCUGUCCGAAAAGACGAUUAAAUCAUAUAGGAGAGAAACUGGCGAAGAUACCGUGCCAGCAGCCGCGGUUAAACGGACGGUUUCUUCAAUAUUUUAAGUAGCUUAAUACAGAAAUCCAAUAUAAAAGAACGGUUAGGAAUAAAGAUUUAAUGUGGUAAUUAAUUUUAUUUCGAGCUUUCUAUGGCCGGAGUGUCUGUUAAGGUAAGGAGGAAGACCGGGUUUUGAUAUCCCGUUAUCCCUUAAAUAAAAAGUUAAUGCUGGUGGAGUACGAAGAAUAUCUUUGAGAAACAAAGAACUUGGCGGUGAUUUAAUUCUAAUCAGGGGAGCCUGUUUGAAUAAAAUGAUAAUCCACGUUACACCUUACCUUCUCUAGAAAAUUCAGUUUCUAUAUCAUCGUCAUUAAGCUUUCAUUGUGAACUAGAAGGCUAGAAAACUAUUGAGUCAGAUGUCAGAUCGAGAUGGAGCUAAUGAGAAGGAGAUGAUGGGCUACAAUAUAAUAUUUUCUAAUAAUUUAUAAUUUAGAAUAAAACCUUAUUUGAAAAUAAUUAGUUGAAAGUGGACUUGAUAGUAAUAAAGAAAGAGAAAAGCUUUAUGAAGUUAGCUCUAAAUUGCGUACACAUCGCCCGUCACCUGCGGGGUAAAACCUGGAGUAAGUCGUAACAAAGUAGGCAUACCGGAAGGUGUGGCCUGGCCUA